CCGCGCCCCCCGCCCAGCCAGUGGCGCAGGCCCGCCAGUGCGGCGUCCGCGGCUUUGUCCUCUCGCGGAUGCCGGGGCCAAGCGCGAAAGCCCUGCGCCCGGAGUGGCCGCCGCAUAGCCAGGACACAGGUCUCGGCAGCGGGGUCUGAGGCGCACCCCGCGCCGAGCAGAACAGCCCGAGGGUCUAUGGGCGCGGGAGGCGUCUGCUUGGAGCUCCAGGGCGCUUGAGAGGGGGACUAGGCCUGUCCCGCCCAGCAUGUGCCCAUCCAGCGAAUCCAGCAGCACCGACCUCAGAGAUGCGGAAGGGCGGUCGGCGCCCGGCAGCGCAUCCAGCUCCUCCGGGCUCCUCACGGCUUCGGCUUCCAGGCGGAGGGCUCUCGACGCGGGGCGGCGGCGGCGGCGGCAGAGAAGGCUGAGACCGCUCCUCUUCGCUCCGGAGCCUCCCUCGGACUCAGCACCUGGAGCGGCGAACAGCUCCGCGCCUCAUUCCGCUGACCCCGCCUCCUCCGUGCCUCCGUAGCCAAUAGAGACCCGAGCCCCGCCCAGGGGUCGCCCAUUGUGGGGGCACAUCUCCCCUCCCUUCGGCCCCGCCCGCGGGUUCUUCUGUCUCUCUUGCUAGACCAAAUCCCCGAGAGCCCGCCGGUGUUUUCGUACAGCCUUCUGGAACUUGUAGUCCUUUAAGGACGCGGAGUGGGCUCAUGUCUCGGGCAGAUAAUGAGAGAUAGACUGCAUUUCCCAGGGUGCAUUGACAAAACAGAGGCGCUGAGGAGGGCGGGAGGACUGUUUCUAUAGCAAAGGCGACUGGUUGGGGACGGCUGACGGAGUAAUGGGGCAGGCCGCCGGACCCUCGAAGGAUUGUGCGUGACUUCGGGCAGCCUCCUUUGGGAGGCCGUUUCCAUUCUCUUUUCACCUCGGUCCCCACCCCGGGACUCUGGGCCUCAGUUUUCUUAUCUGGAAAGAAGGGCGUGGAGUCGUCUUCCCGCCCACACUCCGCGGUGUUAGGGCAAACCGAGGGCGAGCUGCCCAGCAAAGGUGAGAGAGGAUGGAGACCUUCGGCUUGAGAGUGGAAGGGGCGCAUUCUGAACUUUAUCCCUUUGUUUUUGCUUCUGUCUUGUCAUAGAGGAGCGCUUUGUUUUUGGUCAUUUUCCUUGGGCCAUCAAGGCCUUCUCAUCCCGGAUUCUGGCCUCCUUCACGCCACGCCCCGUACCGCAGCGUCUCCCACAGCGUAGCCAGAGGGCGCUUCUGCUUAAAACCCUUCACCAGUCUUCCCAUUGCCUCCGGAAUUAAACCCACAUUCCUCAGUGUCAAUCUAAAGGCCCUUCAGGAUCUGGACUCCACCUUCUUGCAACACUCUGAACUUCUCUGGAAGCUGGGAAGCCCUAAGCAAUUGUUUUCUCACGUGGGUCCCUCCACCCUGCACUCAGCUAAUGCCGCCCACUCUUCAAGCCCCAGCCUAGACGCUGCCUCCUCAGUGAAGCCUUCCCAGAUGCCCGGCUCCAUAUGAGGUGUUGACCUGGCAUGCAGUCCCUGUGGCUCCUGUGUGGCCCCAUUUCUGCCCUCUGAAGCAACAGAGUCCACGCACCAGAUGUUACAAAACCUCCCUACCUUGGCUGCCCAUCUCUGCAAAUAUGUGACCAGACUAGAGUGGUCAACCCCAGUUUAGAGCUGCCUUGAAUAUCUGCAUGCCAGUGUUUGGGUGCAGCACAAUGUCCAGUCAAUCCUCCCUAAUACCUUCAAGCCAGGUGGCUCCCCGAGUUGUGUAGAGAAGCCAGUAGGAAGAUGUGACUGGAACCCAACCCUGGGGGCCUGCAGGGAUCUGCCCACUGAUUCCACCUACCCAGAAUGCCUUGGGUGGCAGAGGGACACCACCGAACUUUGAGAAGCAGCUCUGAGUUUGUGAACAUUGGAUGCCGAUAAUUAUCCAGCUGGGCGCUGUGGGCGCGGUAGGCGGUAAAACCCUCCAACGUCGGUUUGGAAGCUCGAGGUUUCACACACAAAGGUAGGUGGAAGCGGGACCGAUCCGGGAGGCUGCGCUCCCCAGACAACGCGUAGAGCCGCCCGCGCCGGUGCCCGCUUCAGCUCACUAUCCUUGGGUGGGGGAGCGGGAAGAGGAUCUGGCACGAGGGGGACGAACCCACGUGCACCCAGGUCUUAGCUCCAUCUGGAGUUCUCUGCCCCUGCGCCCGCAGGCCCCGGGCGCCCCCUGGAGGCGGUGAGAGCCCCGAAUGCGCAGCACACGCCCGGGAGGGCGCUGGCUUGAACAACCUACCCAUCAACUAGAAAAGUACCCCCAUAAAAAUGGGCAAAGGACAGGAACAGAGGCAUUUGAGAUGAAACACAAACGCCCAAUAAGACAUUAAGCUGAUGUUUACAUAGACAGGAUCUGUUGCAAGCCCUUAUAUGCAUCAGCUCCUUUAGAUCUCUCAACAGAGCUACUAGGGAGUAUUCCCAUUCCACAGAUGAGUAAACUGAAGCACAGGAGACUAAGUGACUUGCUCAAGGUUAUACAGUAAGUGGCAGGGCCAGUAUCUGACCCCGCAGCCUGGCACCAGAGUCUUAGGGCCUUACUCACUGCACCAGACUGUUUCUCAACAUGUGGAAAAUAUACGCUCUGGCUAAAAACCAAAGUAUAAAUUAAAACAAUUCAUUCAGUAAAUUAAUUUGUCCUACAAGUAUUUAUUGGAUGCCCGUUGUGAGCCAGGCCCUAUUAUGGGUGCAGGGGAAUAGACACUAAAACACACAAAACAUUAAGCUUACAUUCCUGUGGGGAGAGAGACAGACAGUAAACAUGAGACAAUAUUCUAUGGCAGGUGGGCUAGUGCAUGGGGAAAAAUAGGGAAAGGGGGAGAGGGAGGGCUAUUUAAAUCAGGUGUCAGGUGGACCUCUUUGAGAAGGUGACACUUGAGCUGAGACCUAAAGAAAGGGAAGCCUCGUGAUUAUCAGUGAGAGGAGCAUUCCAGGCAGAGGGGAAGUCCCUGAGGCCGGUGCUGAAGGUGCUGUCCACGUGGACAGGAGGUGGUAGGCUCCUUCCUGGCCUCCCUGGUCCAUCGCCAGUGCCCAGGGCCAUACGAGGUGUUCAGGGAGGACUUGCCUGCUAACCAUUAAGUGAGGAUAGCACCUGUUUUUUGCCCUGGGCAUUUGCUUACUUCCCUGCAGCCGGUCCCAUGUGACGACUGUCCCCAUGAGUCUCAGCAGAGGGUGGGAUGAUCUGGAGAAGUGGAAGGGAAGCCCCCACUAAUAUUUAGGUGGAGAUAACUAACCCAGAUUCUGGCCCUCUGAGCUGGGAUGGCAGCAAAAGUCAGCCCUGUAAAAUGCAAUGAGAGAGGUUUGAUUACCAGGAGGGACCAUCUAACCCAUAUCCCAGACUGAGAGGUCAGCCCACACAGGGGCCUGAGGGAGUCGGGGAUGAGUGCGCUCUGCACAUACCGAUGGGCCCCAGCGGGAUCCUGGGUGCCCAGGCGUCUGUGGUCUCUCUGCUUCACUAGAUCUUGGUGGCACCUAGAAUUCAGAAGUGAACUUCCCUUCAGUGAGCUCCCUGUCUGUUGCCCUGGGGUAGAAGGGCCAGGCCAUGACUGUUAUCUGCAUGGCCUACUUUCCUCCAGAGACAGAAGCCCAGAGUAAGGUCAAAGGGAGACCAGGUGGCCCCGGAGGAGGCGAACCCAGUUCUUUCCCAGUGCCUGCCACUUUCCUUGCUGUGGCCGAAAGGCCAUUCCCUUCCCCGCUGGUGUGGCCUCAUCAUAUCCCUUUGAUUAGAUGAAUCACCUCUAAAAAUUGCUUAUGUUCCAUAUGGUGAACUGCUCUUUUGUUCAGUGCUGAAUACUUCUGUUGAUUCUUGUGUCCACCUGGGCUCUUUUGAGUCCUGCUUAGACCAGCUUAUGAAGGGGUUUUCAAGAUGAGCGCAAACUGGGCCAGAACUUGGCACAGAGGGCAGUCUCACCUUUCAUCAAACAAGGGAGAAGGAACCAUAUUUAAUAAACAUCAUCCAUUAGAUUAGAUCAACAGUCUCCGAACAUUGCAAUUCUUCCAGAAACAGUAUCUCUCUUGCCCUCACAGAAGAGCAUGUGGUCAAGAGGAAAUUGAAUAAAGUUCUUUAAUCAGCUACAGUAGUAUUUGAAUCAUUUAAUUUAAUGGAUCUGACAACCACAAUUUAUUUUUUAGGCCAAUUUUAGCCAACCAGGAGAGCUGGCCCAGUCUGACCCAUGCUUAAUAAAUCACCUCCUUGCCUGAUUGUAGAAAGUUUGGGGAAGAGAUUUUUCUGGGGCUUUUCAAACAUAAUCAAAACCAAUCUGCCAUGCUGUGUAUGCCAAGGCAGGAGUCCUUGGCCAUGCUGCCUUCACAUGGCCCUGUGGCUGUAGAGUGAGCCCUUGGGCUGGAGGGAGCUAAGGACACAAGGCAGGGAGCUGUCACCCCCGCAGCCUGUGCUUUUUAUUCCUGGCUGCAGGUUCGCAUGGCCAGGAAAACAAGUCAAAUCAAAUUAGAUGCCAGACACAUGCUGCUUAGUGCAUCUCACCCUCUACUGCCUCAGGCUCUUCAACACCUGCUGGAACCUCCUCAUUGGAAAAAAUGAAAGAGGAGCUUCUGAUUCAAAGUAACACCCACUGGACCCUCGAUGUGGCCUCUACCAGAGUCACGUUAAGUCACCUGUGAAGUCCCAGUAAGGGGUGAAAUGCAAGUUCCCUCCUUCAGAACCAGUCUGACGUCAGCUGCAUCUGAGCCCCUGGCAGACAUCUCCUCUGACCUGCCGGGCAGAUGUGGUUGGGCUGAGAAAAACCCAUGGGACUUCAUUCUGUUCCUACUGCAAGCAACAGCCACGUGAAAUCAAGGGGCUUGAUUUCAGGCCAGUCUUCCCAUUUUUCUCCAUCUAUUCCAAAGAAACAAUAUGGCAGGAAGGAGGCUAGGAGACCAAGGCAGGGCUGGUGGUCUUCUUGGGAGUAUGUAGCAUUCUUGGAGACAUAGUAGUGAUAAGUAAGUGGCAUUAAGAAAGGAGGAAUCUGGUGUGGGUCAGUGCAUGCAGGGAAUUGUAAGUUUUUCGUGAAAUCCAGUUUCUUAGAGUUUCUUAGUUGGGGAUGUAUUGAUGUCAGAAUAGAACCAUCAACAGCCAAGGUUACAAGGGGGAGUUGUGUCCCUGCAGGGAUCCAGGGAAAUCCUGAGCUGGAGCCAACCGUGAGAGCCCUCCAGGCCUCCUGGGAACUGUCCAGUCACAGGCAGCACCUCCAUGGUGCUGGACCUGGGGCUGCUCACCCAUUUUCUAGCUCUGGGCACCCCCUUCUCUGCAGAUGAACCCUUGGCUCCUGCUCCCCCCAAAACCUGAACUCACACAAGCAUGACUCUGGGUUCACUAAUUCUAGUCAUGACACUUGAUCCAGUAGCUUGAGAGCCACUAUUAACCAAGGAGACCCCCUUCUGGCUCCUUCUUGGGGGUCUCCAGGGGACAGAGUGGCUCAUGCACUCUUGUCAAGGUCCUGGGCAGCCAGGGCCACUGGCGUUUGUCAGGAAGCCCCCCCGCCCCAGAACCUCCUCGGAGGGCAUCUAAACAACAGCUGCCCAUACUUGAUAAUGGGGGUGGGGACAGAGAUUUGGGGGAGGGCUGGGGAAGCCCCUCCUCCCCUAUUGGCACCCCAACCAGGCCUGACUUUUCCAAUUAAACUUUGACUCUGCCACUUACUCCUGUGUACCCUUGAGCCCUGUUCAGAAUUUCUGAUCCUCAAAAGUAGAACAGGGCUAACAGGAGCCCUUCCCUUCCAGGGUUGCUGUGAAAAUUGAGAUAAGAGUUCGAGGGCAUAAACUAUUUCAGAAAUAAUAAAGAUAAUAGAUCUUUUUAACCUAGAUGCAACCAGAGAUCAUAGAAAAUGUAGAUGAGUGUAGACUGGAGAUACGAUCUUGUUCUAGAAAGAUGAAUAUGUUUUGAAUUGCCACAAGAAUGAAGUACAUUUCAUUAAAGAAAAAAGUAAGGUAAUUUAUGCACAGCCCUACAAACAUGACUCAUAAAAUAGAACUAACUAUAAAACAGUUUCUCUUUGUCUCCCUUUGUCCUUUAAAUGUACUUAUGGAGCUACCUUUUCCCUAUAGCCUCUGGAUGAAAUCUAAGCUAAAUCGCCUACUGACCCCUUCUUCACCCCUUGGCUGAUGUCUUUUUGUUCCUCCUGGAGGCUUUCUUGAUCAGGCUAUAAGACAACCCCAUGCUGGCUCUCUCGUGUCAGCAGCCACCUCUCAUCCUCUGGAAGUGUUCGCUCCUUUGCCCCCCUGAUCUCUGGGCAUGCAGGCAGAUCCCGACGCGGCUGCUCUCCUAGCUGUACUGCUAAGCCAUCUGGCCAGCCUGUCUCCUGCCAUCAGGAUUUCUCUGGCAUGAGUUGCCCCAGUUCACUGUGUCCCUGAAACUCCAAAGGACAUGUCUUGAGCUUUCUGCGUGGUCUCACAGAAGCUCCUUUCCCCAAGCUUGAGGUGAGGAGCAAGCAUCCUUCACUAUCCUCCUGGGAAGAGGAGAUUCACAGCACCAACUCUCUAGAUAUGCCCACAGAGCCCAGCACACUGCAAAUGCCCAGUAAAUGGCAGCCAUCCUGGGCUCCUGAUCCUGCCUCCCAGGGCUGAGGAAAGGGCUCUGUGGCCACUGGGCCUUGACUGCCCCUGACCUAAGCAGUUCUAAGCCCUAAGUCCCAAGGGCAAUCCCAGGUCCCUAAGUGACACAGUUAUUGAGAAGAGAAACUGGGAUUCCACUCCAAGCCAAAAUUGCCUUCCUGGUCUUUGCCAACUGUCUCCAGGGAAAAGAAUACUCCCCACCCCUACAUUAUGAGGGUAGGUGAGCAGGUGAGAAGAAAGGUGUCCCGGACAGCCACAGAAACAUGGUGGAUGUGGCAGUGUCCCAAGCAGGCACCAAACAACCCCCACAUUGGCUGCUCUGCUGGAUAUGCUGUCCUGUUAAGGACCUACUCAGGGAGCCCAAUGAGAGCUGAACUGUGAGGCCCCUUGCUCAGGGUGACCAAAGGGGUUUCAGGAGGUGCCAGGAUUGGAGGCAGAAUGAAAAACAUGCCCCAGGAAACAGAAGAUGAGAAAGCUGGGGAAAGGAAGGCAGUAGGUGUAGGAAGGAGGGAGGGAGGACCUGAGUCAGAGUUGUCUUGGGCACAAACCUAGGGUCUGAGGGUCAGCCCAGAAGCCCUGGGGCAGGGAUCUGGGUCCUGUUUUCAGAGUGGCCCCGGAGGAGACAAAUGGUCUGGAAGGCAGUGCCCUAAGAAUGUCCACACCAGCAAGCCUAUCUCAGAUGAUUAAGUGGCAGCAGAUAAAUUUAACUAAAUGUGAGUAAUGGGAACACAAAGGGGAAGUGAAGAGAAAUAGAAUAUUUUAGCAACAUAAGGAAAUGAGAAGAAAAUGACUUUGCAAUGAAAUGUCAAACUUCUGUGCCUGGAGGAGAUGUAAUCUGGUCAUUGCAGGCUUAGGGGAGCGGGGGAGUCUGUGGUUAUUUCAAGAAAAUUUUAAUUCACUUUAAUUUAAUAACAUAUGGCCAGAUUCUUUUGGGGCAAUGUCAGGAGACAGAACUGGGAGUCAGAGAGUGCCAGCUCUGCUAACUGGGGUGUUUUUGGUUGUUUUACAAGGAGAAGCUGUACUUAAAUUCAUUUCACCUAUCCAUCCAUUCAUUCAGGGAGUGAAUCUUAAAACCUGAGGAUUAAGAAGACAAAAGACACAGUCUUGCCUACUCCUGCCCUCAGGAGAUCCUGGUCAAUUGGGGUGACAGACAAGUGAACAGAAAGUUACAGGGUAGGGACACAUUCUGGACCUAAUACUUGAUGCUCAAUAGAAGUUUGUAGAAUGAAAGCAUGAUUGAAAGGUUGGUUCUGAAAAGGCACCAAAAAAGAGUGAAUAUCAAGGUGGGUCUUGAAAGAUGGGUUCCCCAGCUAGGCAUGUAAGUCAAGGGAAGUCCAGGUAGAAGGGACUGCGUGUGACCAGGUAGAAUGGACCACAUGUAGCAAAGCGGUGCUGAUUAUAAUCAUGGGGCUGGAGGAGAUUGCCCAGGGAGAGGGGACAGGGUGAGAAGAGGAGGAGGACAAAGAAGAGACACAGGAUCCAUGGACCCUGAUGAGAAAUAACACCCUGAGGAAGGCAUACACUGAAGACCUCCCAGUCCACUAUUACUAUCGCUGAAAUCUCUACUGCAGCCUACAGUGCCUAUUCAUCCUUGGAGCUUCAGAUCAGACAUCGCAUCCCCCAAGAAGUUUUUCUGGCUCAGGCUGGGGUGAGUCCCCCUUCCCCACGCAUGCUCCCAGCAUACCCUGUGCCACCAUCCUUGUCAUGGCCCACCCCAGCCCCAUGUUGGGUUCGUUUGUCUGUAUGCCUGCCCAUCUCCCAACUGAAGCUGCCAUGCCCAGCUCUGGUGGUGCCCCGACUACACUGGUGCCUCCCUGGAUCCUGGCCAGGCUGUCCUGUCUAUGGGAUCCCAUCCUAAGGAUGGACAAAGUCCAUCCGGAAAAGAGGUUCCAGAAGCUGAGGUCUGAAUUAAGGGCUGUUGGCUGGGUCGGAGGGUGGAGUCCGACCAAGGGAAGAGUGUUUUAGUUCAUAUCACAUCGAACUUUUGCACUUUUAGAGGGAUUCUGGAAGUGCCCUGGGUAAGAGCCCUUCUUAUUCCCAGAACUCUGGCUGGGAGGGGUGGGUGGUUAGGGUUAUUGGGCCUGGGCAGCAAAGCCAGAGAAACAUGGCCCCAGGGCAGAGAAGCUGGAAUGGUUGGACCGGCGGGACAGGGAGCGGGCUCGCUGAAGCCAAGGCUCAGGACGGGGCCUAGCAGAGAGGGGCCUGUACGAAAGCCGCCUCUUUGGACAGAGCUGCCUGCGGAACACGCCGCCCAAGGGGAAAAUGACAGAGCUGUAGGUGUCCUGAAUGUCCGCUAGGGGGAAACAGAGGCUAAGCCAGCUGGCGGGUAGCCAUGGUAACCGCAGAGCCAGCUGCUGCGUUAUCCCUAGACUCUGGCAGGGAGGUAAGGAGAACGCCCAAGCAGGGUGUUGCGAAUGCUCGCGGGUCUGUGGCCAUCAGCUCCAGGCAAGGACGAAGGACCCAGGUGACUUUCAUGUUUUCUCAUCUCCACCCAAGUCACACUUUUGCCGGUUGAGCCAGGCAUAGCAGUUGUGGAAGAAAAAUAAAAUGGGGUUUUGGAUCAGCCAAACCAGAUCCUUCAUUUUAAAGAUGAAAUAGAAACCCAGAGAGGGAAAGACACUUGCUGGAGACCACACAACAGCAGUCCUGUAAAUAGAGCUGAAGAGAAACUGGUGGAAAAAAGGAAGAAAAGUAUGCAAAUGACCAAAGACCAAUCUGGCAAUGUGCUCUAAUUUUUUUAUUACCAUUUUUUAAUUUAAAAUGUUUUAAACACACAUGUGUGUAUGCAUAUACAUAAUGCUGCAAUGUAACAAGAAUCUCUUUUAGCCGGUCACAUGCAUCUUUUCCUUCCUGUACCAUUUUCUUCCUUCUCCAAUUAGGGUCUUUUCCUUCUCUGGGCUUCUAUUGCUUCUAUAAAAUGAAGAAGCUGGCCUAGCUGAUCUCAAAGCCCAUCACUGUCUAUAAUAAAGCAAAGCCUUCAUUUCAUGAACUCAUCCCAGUUAACUGGGCACACGAAUAGGUAAGCACUUCUUGGAGUGAGAGACUGCUUGGCAGCCAGAUGUCUCUGUAACUGGGCCCCUGACAGGCUAGCCCAGGUCCGUUGGGUUCAUGUAUCUGGUUGCAAUGUUGGAGGACAUUAGCCAUGAACAAAAACUACCUCCACGAGAAUAUUUGAGAGUUAGUUAACUUGCAAGUUUAUUUUUAAAACUCAAAGACAUUAAGAAAUAGCCUCUAGACACUCAUGAUGGGGAAAAAACUCUCAAAUCCAAACACAGUUAAUUCAGUAAACAUCAUGUGAGAGUAAUCUUGUUUCAUUUCUAGUCCCUCAUUCUUUCUCUGCCCUCCUUCUCUAUCCUGUUCUUCGCUCAUUUUUUCUACUUUCUGAUCUCUAAGCAAAGCCCCUUGUUUGGCUGCAAGAACCCUCAGAUGCCAUUUGCAUCUUGGAAGGCCCAAUGGGAUAAAUCUCCCCACACAACCAACCAUAUCCCAAGGUCGUUGAACAUCCUGGUCUCAGGGGGUACAGAGGUAUCUGGGGAGAGCCUUCCCUGAGUAGACAUUUUUCAUGAUUCCAAACCCAUGAGGGGAGCCUGGGAUCAAACAGACUAGGCCACAGGGUCAGGGCAAAGAUGGGAUGCUAGGGUGCUCCUAGGGCCCAUCCCAUCAACUGACAAAUGAGGAGACUUAAUAAACAAGGAGGCAAGUGACUGGCCUGAGGAGAACCUGUCUGGGAGAGCCAGAUGGCUGAGCCAGGAGCCAAAGUGAGGUCUCCUGACCCCUGGCCCUUGUUACUUGCAGGGACUAUAUUGUCCCUGAGGUAACAUCACUUGAUUCUGGCCUGAGUCACCACAGCAGAGAUGAGCCAAGAGUCUGUGGGUCCCUUCAGCUUGGCUCGGGGUGGCUGGAGACCACCAGGGAGGUUUUGUGAGGCAAUCUGGAGCAGCAGGGGCUCAGAAAAUUUGAGCUGUAGGUGCUCAGUGAACUUUUGUUGAAUUUAAAACAGUUUUGGGGGCUUGUGGAGGCUUCAAGCUUGACUUGAGGGUGGGCUGGCAGGGUCAGUAAUGGUCAAGAAACUGACCAAGAUCAAACCUUGUCAGAUGUCACCAUGGGGUGUCUGUGACAAGGCCCCAGAUGCUCACAACUCACUAUGUGUGUCUGGGGGACUGAGUGUCCAGUUUUUCCCUUUUCUACCUUCCCUACCCUGUAUGUCUGAGGAAAGAACUUUCAUUAGAUUGCACCAGAGACUAACUGGUACAUCCAUACAAUAUAAUAGUACUCAGCAAUAAAAAGAAAUCAACUAUUGAUACACACAACGACUUAGAUGGACUUCAAGGGCAUUAUUCUGAGUGGAAAAAUAGGCCAGUCUCAAAAGGUCACAUACUGUAUUAUUCCAUUUAUAUAACAUUCUAGAAAUUACAAAAGUAUAGAGAUGGAGAACAGACCAGUGGUUGUCAUGGAUUAGAGAAGGGAGCGAGGCAGGUAUCACUAUGACAGCACAGGGAGUUCUUUUGUGGUGAUGGUAGCUUUGUGUCUUGAAUGUGGUGAUGGUUGUAUUAUUCUAUACAUAUGAUAAAGUGCCAUAGAAUUAUACACUUAGGACAUUAAAAAAUACAUGCAAAAUAGGUAAAAUCUAAGUAAGGUUUGUAGACUAGGUAAUUGUAUUGUGCCAAUAUCACUUCUCUGGUUUUGAUAAUGUGUUAUAGUUACAUAAAAUGCCAUUAUGGGGGCAGCUGGAUACUGGGUACGUGGAACCUCUCUGUACUACUUUUUGUACAUUCUUGUGAGUCUAUAAUUACCUCAAAAUAAGAAUUUUAAUAAAAACUGUACUAGUGAGUAGCUUUAUUCUGUUUUGAAUGUUUUGAGUUUGGAGGUGGUUAGUGUAAUGUAUCAUCUAGGACUCUAGUUACAAGAGUCAGAGAAGCCAUUUUAAACUGGCAUAGGACAAAAAGGACAUUAUUGGUGCAUGUGAUCAAACUAUGGAACAGCGGGGAUAGAGCUGCACACACAAGUCCAGCUAAUGUAGGAAUCACAUAGACAAAAUUCUCUUUCUUGUUUUCUCUCUCAUUCCCCUUUCCCAUCCCCUUCUCCAAUCCCCCAUCUCCCAUCCCUUCAUAGAAGAGGGAGAAGAACUUCUCCCAAAGAAAGGGGAUGCUGUUACUGAGAUAUGAGGGAAGGGAUGUUGGGCAGAGGGGGAGAAAAGAUGUCCAUUACAGCAUGUUAAAUGGGAUAACAUUUUAAAAAUUUAUUCAUUUAUUUAUUCAGGCUUCACCAGGCCUUAAUUGUGGCAUAUGGGCUUCUUAGUUGCAGACUCUUAGUUACGGCAUGCAUGCGGGAUCUAGUUCCCCCACCAGGGAUCGAACCCGGGCCCCCUGCAUUGGGAGUGCAGAGUCUUACCCACUGGACCACCAGGAGAGUCCCUAGCAUAUUAAUUAAUGAAAACAGCCCCUGAAUCUAUUAGAAAUAAGGAAACAACUUGGUGGUACAGUUCAAAGUGCCAGUGUGGUGGCCUGCAUGCACAGUGAUCAUCAGGUGAGUCUCAGUGCCAGCCAGGCUCUGGCCUGAAGACUAGUGGGUGGGUGGUCCACAGAGGGGCAUGAGCUCUGGGGAAAAACUGUGCUGAGCCUACAGUGUCAGAGGCAGGCAGAAGAACCCAUUGGAGGGCCCUUGGGACAGGAUCACCAGGAACUCAACUGUAACAUAGGAGGAUAUAUGCACAGGGUCAAGAGCAUGCCUGAGACAAGAGGUCACUUGAAUCCAGGAUCUGACACUUGGUAGCUGAGUGACCUUGGCAAGUUUCUUAAAUUCUCUGAACCUGUUUCCUCACAUGUAAAAUUGGGAUGAGAAUACUUCAUAGGUUGUUAAAUUCAGUUGAUAUAGUGUAUGUAAAGCACCUAGCCAGGUGAAAACUGCCAGGAUCUGAGUUAUUGUUAUGCCGAUAACUUUACAGCAGUAGAGGGUCGUAGUGGCAGGCAGGUGGCGCUCGAGCCCAGCGCUCUGCCGGAGGACGCCCUGGAAGCUGCAAAUUGAAGCAGGUGCUUUGGUCAUAUUUGAAGAGGAGGACCCGAGCGCUGAGACUCGCUUCCCCAGAGUCCCACUCGAAGCUUAGCCAAAGAUCUCUCAAUGGAGGGCUGAAGCUACGCAACCCCCACUCAGCGCCUCCGUCUUGUCCUCCUGGCUCGAGUGUGCCCAGAAGACAGGCGACCCGAGUUCCUUGUUGCUCCGGGAAUCGCUGGUUCUCUGGCUUAACAGGGUCGGAUUUGAGCGAGCUACUUUCGCCGGGUCCCGUCUCCCCUCACGAGGAGUUUUCGUGGAACCCAGCGGGUGGAACAUUUUAACGAACGUUUUAAAGUGACUGGAACUUGGAUAUUCUUGUGUUAUGGGAGAGGACCCAGCCAGAAACCUGGACCCAUGGCGGCCCGAGUGAGGAGUUGAAAGUCAAGUCCAAGUGGGCAUUAAAAGACAGAGCAGGUAACAUGGAAAACAUUUAGCCUUUGCCCUGCUAAAGACAAAGUUCUGCUGAGUCUCGCAUCUUCUGCUCCCCAAACAGAGGGGCAGCCUCCCGCCCACCAGCUUGCGGGGUGUGAAGAGGCUUUGGGGUACCACUAGGGUACCUGGAGGCCCCCGCUGAUCUCCCUGGCCCGGCCCGCGUGCCGGGAACCUGGACUGGACCUUCAAGUCUGUCUUUUCAGCAGUAGGACUGCGGGUGUGGAGCAGAUGCUGAGGCGGUUGUCAUGGAGACAGGAGGGCGCGGAGAAGAAUGUGGUUCUUGAUUGGCUGGGAGGCUUGUUAGGGCCAGCGGGCGCUGUGGUCAACCCGAAAGUGCAGACCUGCUUGAGGAAACUGGCCACUCGGAUGUCUGCGCUUUGCGGCCAGUCCACAACCGCCCCCUGACCUUCAGCAGCAGAGCCUGGCAGCGUAGGGCCGCGCUUCCCCUGAGAGGUGCCCCGACUCUUCCAUCCAGAGGGCUGACCUCCAGAUGAAGGAAGGGGACUGCGCCUGGGACCCAGGAACGGCGUCCAGAGCUGUGUGAGGCUGCUCUUGGACUCCCCGCGGACCAUCCCCCCAUUCCUCAGCGGGUUCGGCUUCCUCCCCAGGGCUCAGAGCCCGGUGGGACCUCCGGAGCGGCAGUCAGCUGACAGGCACCAGUUACGUCGCCCAUCUGUGGUGCACCCAGACCUUAGGUGAGCUGGUUCAGGAGGAGGGUUAGGGGUGGCUCUGGUUCGGUGCGGCAUUUCAGAACUGUGAGGAGGAGCCAGUGAUUCCUCCCAAGUGUGUUCAUCCUUCUGUUAAUCUGUCUAUGCAGAAAUCCAAGCCAACCACCAGAGCGGUGUGAAUCAAGGGGCUUUGCCCCCAAAAUCUCCAGUUGGUCCCUUCUCAGGUUUUAUAAAUGAUCCUUGAAAUGGACAAUUGGAAAUUUUAAAAUCUUAGGUUAAAAAUGAAUAAAUGUAUCUUUGCACCAUUUUGCUAUUCUACUGCUCUUGAGUGCUGAAGGCAUAUGCACACUCAGCUCCAGCCCAGCUCGGGUCUCCCUCCUAUUUCUCAGAGAUCCCUUCUGAGCCCUGGACCUUGUGAUGAGUGACAUCUCUAUACACACCUUAUUCUUUCAAAGGUAAUCUGUCUUUUCUCUCACUACUUUUAAGAUCUUCUUUGGUGUUUUUCGGUUUCACUAUGAUAUGUCUAAGCAUAUAUUUCUUUUUAUUUAUCUGGCUUGGGAUGUUGGUAUUCCAGAAUCUGUAGGUUUGUAUCUUUCAUCAGUUCAGAAAAUUCUCAUCCUUUAUCUUUUCAAAUAUUACCUCAGUCCCCUUCUUUUCUUCUUCUGGAACACAGUUAGAUAUAUUAUAACUCUCUGCUUUUUUCAUCUUUUCCUUCUCUUUGUCCUUUUGUGGAUAAUUUCCUGAGGUCUAGCUUCUGUUCACUGUUCACUGGUUUUCUCUCCAGCUAUGCCUAAUCUGCUGUUAACUCUGUGUGUGAAGUUUUAAAUUUAACUUACUGGGACUUCCCUGGUGGCGCAGUGGUUAAGAAUCCGCCUGCCAAUGCAAGGGACACAGGUUUGAGCCCUGGUCUGGGAGGAUCCCACAUGCCGCAUAGCAACUAAGCCCAUGCGUCACAACUACUGAGCCUGUGCUUUAGAGCCCGCAAGCCACAACUACUGAGACCGCAUGCCACAACUACUGAAGCCCGCACGCCUAGAGCCCGUGCUCUGCAACAAAAGAAGCCACUGCAAUGAGAUGCCCACGCACCGCAACGAAUAGCCCCUGCUCACCGCAACUAGAGAAAGCCCAUGAGCAGCAACGAAGACCCAAUGCAGCCAAAAAUUAAUUUAAAAAAUAAAUUUAACUUACUGUAGUUUUUCAUUUAUAAAAAUUCUACUUGAUUCUUAUUCAGUUCUGUUUCAUAAUAUUUUAACAAUCUUGAUCUCUACUCAUAUACUC
Molecule: long non-coding RNA, 15005 nt
Organism: Orcinus orca (killer whale)
Lineage: Eukaryota; Metazoa; Chordata; Mammalia; Artiodactyla; Delphinidae
Exons: 8
Source: RefSeq, a predicted model, not a curated record